UACGGAGGAUCCGAGCGUUAUCCGGAUUUAUUGGGUUUAAAGGGUGCGUAGGUGGCCUGUUAAGUCAGGGGUGAAAGACGGUAGCUCAACUAUCGCAGUGCCCUUGACACUGAUGGGCUUGAAUGAACUAGAGGUAGGCGGAAUGUGACAAGUAGCGGUGAAAUGCAUAGAUAUGUCACAGAACACCAAUUGCGAAGGCAGCUUACUAUGGUUUUAUUGACACUGAGGCACGAAAGCGUGGGGAUCAAACAGG
This 253-nucleotide ribosomal RNA is filed under the name uncultured bacterium. Its description in RNAcentral is "partial 16S ribosomal RNA". It matches the Rfam family "Bacterial small subunit ribosomal RNA", at positions 524 to 776 of the family's 1533-position model. The record is from RNAcentral.